UCAUCCAUCAAGUUUGAGAGUCUUACACCUUUCUUUCUUUUUUUUGAAUUUAUUUUCAAGGCUUACAAGACUUAGGCUCAGAGGUCCCUGCUCCAGGCUAGAGCAGCCAGUGGAAGCACCAGCACCAGAGAUGAUGGAGUCAAAAUGACUGCUUUGCUGCUGCUGUAUGUACCUUGGAGCUGGAUUUUUCUAUGAAGUCUGUAGAAGCUUGUUACCAUGUUAAAUGCCCAGCUUUCAUGAAGUCCACACCUGAAGGGUUUGUUGUCCUUCUAGUCGUGUAUUUUCAGCCCAUCCAACACUUUUCUGAGGUACUGGUACUUGCAUCUUUUGCUUCAGCAUCCGAGAAAUUCAAGGAUCUUCUUGGCUUCCACAUUAUGGGAGAUAUUGCACUCAGAUAA
This 398-nucleotide long non-coding RNA is filed under the name Serinus canaria (Common canary). RNAcentral describes it as "lncRNA (ENSSCAG00000009346.1)". Lineage: Eukaryota; Metazoa; Chordata; Aves; Passeriformes; Fringillidae. The record is from RNAcentral.